This 137-nucleotide small nuclear RNA is filed under the name Nannospalax galili (Upper Galilee mountains blind mole rat). RNAcentral describes it as "U2 spliceosomal RNA (ENSNGAG00000003661.1)". It matches the Rfam family "U2 spliceosomal RNA", at positions 47 to 185 of the family's 192-position model. From Rfam's summary of the family: U2 is a small nuclear RNA (snRNA) component of the spliceosome (involved in pre-mRNA splicing). Complementary binding between U2 snRNA (in an area lying towards the 5' end but 3' to hairpin I) and the branchpoint sequence (BPS) of the intron results the bulging out of an unpaired adenosine, on the BPS, which initiates a nucleophilic attack at the intronic 5' splice site, thus starting the first of two transesterification reactions that mediate splicing. The record is from RNAcentral. Lineage: Eukaryota; Metazoa; Chordata; Mammalia; Rodentia; Spalacidae.
UACUGGUUUAAUAUCUGAUAUAUCCUCUAUCUGAGGACAAUAUAUUAAAUGGGUUUUGGAGCUGGGAGAUGGAAUGGGAGCUUGCUCUGUCCACGCCACACAUUGACUUGGUAUUACAGUACCUCCAAGAAUGGAGC